GAUGAAGAACGCAGUGAAAUGCGAUAAGUAAUGUGAAUUGCAGAAUUCAGUGAAUCAUCGAAUCUUUGAACGCACAUUGCGCCCCCUGGUAUUCCGGGGGGCAUGCCUGUUCGAGCGUCAUUUCACCACUCAAGCCUCGCUUGGUAUUGGGCGACGCGGUCCGCCGCGCGCCUCAAAUCGACCGGCUGGGUCUUCCGUCCCCUCAGCGUUGUGGAAACUAUUCGCUAAAGGGUGCCGCGGGAGGUCACGCCGCAAAACAACCCCAUUUCUAAGGUUGACCUCGGAUCAGGUAGGGAUACCCGCUGAACUUAAGCAUAUCAAUAAGCGGAGGA
Molecule: unclassified non-coding RNA, 332 nt
Filed under: soil metagenome
Description: partial contains 5.8S ribosomal RNA, internal transcribed spacer 2, and large subunit ribosomal RNA
Rfam family: 5.8S ribosomal RNA (bases 1-120)
Source: RNAcentral